GACUCGGUGGCGGAUGGUCCGCGUCUGCCCCUGCUAGCUAUGCCGGCGGAAGGAUUUUCAGCAGAUAAUGCCUGUUCGAAUCAGGCCUGAGUCA
Molecule: non-coding RNA, 94 nt
Organism: Mycena epipterygia
Lineage: Eukaryota; Fungi; Basidiomycota; Agaricomycetes; Agaricales; Mycenaceae
Source: the annotation of a GenBank genome assembly